RNAcentral lists this ribosomal RNA (481 nucleotides) under uncultured bacterium. Its description in RNAcentral is "bacterial SSU rRNA". It matches the Rfam family "Bacterial small subunit ribosomal RNA", at positions 36 to 509 of the family's 1533-position model. The record is from RNAcentral.
CGGACCAACUGAUUGAUGGUGCUUGCACCUGAUUGAUGAUGGAUCACCAGUGAGUGGCGAACGGGUGAGUAACACGUAGGUAACCUGCCCCGGAGCGGGGGAUAACAUUUGGAAACAGAUGCUAAUACCGCAUAACAACAAAAGCCACAUAGCUUUUGCUUGAAAGAUGGCUUUGACUAUCACUCUGGGAUGGACCUGCGGUGCAUUAGCUAGUUGGUAAGGUAACGGCUUACCAAGGCGAUGAUGCAUAGCCGAGUUGAGAGACUGAUCGGCCACAAUGGAACUGAGACACGGUCCAUACUCCUACGGGAGGCAGCAGUAGGGAAUCUUCCACAAUGGGCGCAAGCCUGAUGGAGCAACACCGCGUGAGUGAAGAAGGGUUUCGGCUCGUAAAGCUCUGUUGUUGGAGAAGAACGUGCGUGAGAGUAACUGUUCACGCAGUGACGGUAUCCAACCAGAAAGUCACGGCUAACUACGUGCC